GGAGCCGUAGUUCAGCUGGUUAGAACGCUUGACUGUCACUCAAGAGGUCGCGAGUUCGAAUCUCGUCGGUUCCGCCA
RNAcentral lists this transfer RNA (77 nucleotides) under Bacteroidota bacterium. RNAcentral describes it as "Bacteroidetes bacterium (bioreactor sludge metagenome) tRNA-Asp". It matches the Rfam family "tRNA". Rfam says of the family: Transfer RNA (tRNA) molecules are approximately 80 nucleotides in length. Their secondary structure includes four short double-helical elements and three loops (D, anti-codon, and T loops). Further hydrogen bonds mediate the characteristic L-shaped molecular structure. tRNAs have two regions of fundamental functional importance: the anti-codon, which is responsible for specific mRNA codon recognition, and the 3' end, to which the tRNAs corresponding amino acid is attached (by aminoacyl-tRNA synthetases). tRNAs cope with the degeneracy of the genetic code in two manners: having more than one tRNA (with a specific anti-codon) for a particular amino acid; and 'wobble' base-pairing, i.e. permitting non-standard base-pairing at the 3rd anti-codon position. The record is from RNAcentral. Lineage: Bacteria; Pseudomonadati; Bacteroidota. RNAcentral also lists the same sequence under 1 other name.